RNAcentral lists this long non-coding RNA (2285 nucleotides) under Oryza sativa (Asian cultivated rice). The record is from RNAcentral. Lineage: Eukaryota; Viridiplantae; Streptophyta; Magnoliopsida; Poales; Poaceae.
UCAUGCACUACCAUCUGAUCUCCCACUACACAUAAUAAAGUUAUGGUACAAGGUAUAUAAAUUGAAGUUGUGCAAUGAUGGACUGAUUUUCAUUUACACGCUGAAUUUAUUUUGUUAAUUAAUGUGCAAUCUGUGAUGCAAAUAAUCCCAUUUGCUGAAUCACUGUGAUUAUUGCAAUCAAAAUCACCAUCUUUCGGCUGAGAUUGCACAUUGUUAUUCUGCAAAAUUUAUCUUUGUUUUAAAUUAAGGUUUAUGCCAUUUGGUAUCUGACACAUAAUCAUUUCUCUGAUUAUGUGUCUCGAAACAUGGCAGAAAGUGAGGGGGAACGGUCCUUGCGACACUGGUUGCUACUAUAUGAGCUUCUAGUUACUAUAUACCCGUUUACAUUUCCUUGCUUUUUUAGUAUUUCUGUUUAACUUUUGUCAUGCCUAUGUGUUGUGAUGCAUUAGUUUUGUACUGUGGAGAUUGUACCCCUGUCAAACCACUUAAUGAAAUUACAGAUAAUUAUUAGACUGAAAAUGCCGUCUUUUGGCUGAAUCACUCUGAUCAAUCAAAAUCACCAUAUUUCAGCUGAGAUUGCACAUUGUUGUUACGCGAAACAAUUUUAUCUUUGUUUUAAAUUAAGGUUCAGCCAUUUGGUAUCUGACACAUAAUCAUUUCUCUGAUUACAUGUCUCGAAACAUGGCAGAAAGUAAGGGGGAACGGUCCUUGCGAUGCUGGUUGCUGCUAUAUGAGCUUCUAGUUACUAUAUACCCGUUUACAUAUCCUUUGCUUUCUUAGUAUUUCUGUUUGGCUUUAUUCAUUAGUUAUGCCUAUGUGUUGUAAUGCAUUAGUUUUGUACUGUGGAGAUUGUAUGUCUAUCAAACUACUUAAUGAAGUUACAGAUAAAUAUUAGACUGAAAGUCUAAAAUCACUGUAGCAUAUUGGGCUAAAAGGUAUAGUUUGUUUACUUGGAAUCUCUCGAAAGUUUGUUUGAUUGCUGAAUUUGUGCUCCAGUUUGUUUGCUGUUUCUUACAUGAAGCAUUACCUGUCCUGAUGUUAUUUAUCACUUAUGAGAUUUGUGUAUGCAGUUUCCAUUUUUUCAGUGCCUGUUAUGCAGAUGCCAAGCGUCUCAUUGGCCGGAGAUUUACUGAUGCUUCUGUCCAGAGUGAUAUUAAGCUCUGGCCCUUCAAGGUCAUUGCUGGACCUGGUGACAAGUCAACGAUUGUGGUUCAGUACAAGGGUGAAGAGAAGCAGGUUGCAGCUGAGGUAAUAUUCAAAUUGUUUCUGUGAUGGCUACUUAGGAUUUAUGCUAUGAUUUUAACUUGCAUUGUUGUAAUGAUGUUGUUAAAGUAAACAAGUAACGGUAGCAAGUUUGCUUAUCAGCUUGUUGUUUUUCAGUUUUUCCUGUGAGCCUAUCUUUUCGUUCUUUUCCAUUAUAAAAACCCAUCUCUCUUUAUGGUCUGUUUGUUUUCUAUGUUAUAAAUGUUUUUCUGUAAUUUGUUGACCUUUUCAUUAAAUCUUGAGCUAGCAGAUUGAUGAUGAAACAAUUUCUCCAAGCGUUUGUUACGCUGAUCCAUAUGAUGGAGGGCUAUGGUAACAUAGCCUUCAUAGUUUUCAAUCUGAACCAUCUGCUGGUCAAUCAUUUUCCCCAGAUUUUUUUACAGCGAUUGUUUCUCCAUGCAUACAGUUCUGUAUUGAUUUGGGAUUGUACUAACACUUAGCAUAACAUACAUUAAUGAAUUCCUUUCAAAUUAAGAUUUCUAUUAUAGUGCUAUUCAAAUUCCUUAUAUGAUUUUUGCUCGUUUUCUUUACAAAAUCUCAUUCAAUUUUCUGUGCAACGUUUGGGAAAAAAGUAUUAUUUGGGAGAAGUGAUGAUAUUAUAUCCAUACCACAUUUCUGCAUUUGCUAUGAUGAUCAUUAAAUUCAUGCACUACCAUCUGAUCUCCCACUACACAUGAUAAAGUUAUUGUUACAAGGCUAUAUAAAUUGAAGUUAUGCAAUGCUGGACUGAUUUUCAUUUACAAGCUGAAUUUAUUUUGUUAGUGUGCAAUCUGUGAUGCAAAUAAUCCCAUUUGCUGAAUCACUGUGAUUAUUGCAAUAAAAAUCACCAUCUUUUGGCUGAGAUUGCACAUUGUUCUGCAAAACAUUUUUAUAUUUGUUUUAAAUUAAGGUUCAUGCCAUUUGGUAUCUGACACAUAAUCAUUUAUCUGAUUAUGCGUCUCGAAACAUGGCAGAAAGCGAGGGGGAACGGUCCUUGCGACACUGGUUGCUGCUAUAUGAGCUUCUAGUUACUAUAUACCCGU